UAAGGAAUAUUGGUCAAUGGACGCAAGUCUGAACCAGCCAUGCCGCGUGCAGGAAGACUGCCCUAUGGGUUGUAAACUGCUUUUAUACGGGAACAAACCCCUUUACGUGUAGAGGGCUGAGUGUACCGUAGGAAUAAGGAUCGGCUAACUCCGUGCCAGCAGCCGCGGUAAUACGGAGGAUCCGAGCGUUAUCCGGAUUUAUUGGGUUUAAAGGGUGCGUAGGCGGCAUACUAAGUCAGGGGUGAAAUUCGGCAGCUUAACUGUCGGCGUGCCUUUGAUACUGGUGUGCUUGAAUGCGGAUGAGGUAGGCGGAAUGAGACAAGUAGCGGUGAAAUGCAUAGAUAUGUCUCAGAACUCCGAUUGCGAAGGCAGCUUACUAAGUCGUGAUUGACGCUGAUGC
This 400-nucleotide ribosomal RNA is filed under the name uncultured bacterium. Its description in RNAcentral is "bacterial SSU rRNA". It matches the Rfam family "Bacterial small subunit ribosomal RNA", at positions 355 to 752 of the family's 1533-position model. The record is from RNAcentral.